AGAAACACUCGUACUGGUCUUCAAAACCGGUCCGGUCGUGUAACCCACGGCUUGGUGGGUUCGACUCCCACGCCGCACUG
Molecule: transfer RNA, 80 nt
Filed under: Actinomycetota bacterium
Lineage: Bacteria; Bacillati; Actinomycetota
Description: tRNA-Sec
Source: RNAcentral